UAAGGGGUGGGAUGGGCCGGGCUCCGCGCACACCCGGGCCGUGUCCUUCGCGCUCUGGCCCCUCCCCCGGAAAUCAGGCCCGCUCCGCGGCCGGGGCUGACGGCUGACAAUGAGAUUCCUCAUUCCCUUGAGAAGAAGAAAGACCACUCAGAAGCUUUGAGGCGUGUCCAUGGAGAAGAAAAACAUGCUUAUAAUUGAUGAGCAUAGUUGCUGCAAUCUCUGCCUGGAAGUUGGGCACACUGCACAAGGAUGUCAGAGCUGUCUGCAGCUGUCAGUCCAGCAAUUGGGAAUGCCUCCAGCUAGGGAUGCUGGAACUAUUUUUACAGUGGCGGUGCUGAGAGCCAUUGAAUCAAACUGUAAACCCUGUAUAUAAGGAAACCACUUCAAGCCAGGGGGUGUGGCGGCACUCCUAGUUCCAGCACCUAUGACUCCAGGUUCUCCUGAAAACAAUCCUGAAAAUGCCAGUAAUUCUGGUAUGAGGCCAGCCCAGAAUCCUUCAAAAAAAUAAACCCACUUGAAGCACUUCUAUACCACUUAUUGGCAUAGUUUGAGUGCCUCUGAUCUAUUAAUACAUUUAACCUCAUAACAUCUCAGAAGCAUGAUUAUCCCCAUGGUGUAAAUGGGAAAAAUGAAGCAAGAGAGAUUGUCAUUUAGCAAAGUCACAAAGAUAGCAAAUCCAGGAAAUAAUUCCAAAUUUCCUGACUCCCAGCCCAUUGCCUUACCCACAAGACCGUUCUUCCUUUGAAUCAGCUUCAACCACCAAAAGCAUAAGGACUCAGCAAACCUACUACCUGCAUCAGAAUAAACUUAGGUUUCCCCUAAUAUGUUCAAUAAAGCAGCCUUACUGUCCCCACUAAAGCAUACUGUAUCAUCCCUCCACACAGAGGAGAGCGUGGGCCAGCCACUACUUUGUGAAAGAGAGACGGUGUUUUAUGCCAUGCACUUCCUGAAAAUCAAAAAGACAGGAAGAUUCUGGCCCAUUCUGGAUCUCAACCUGAGUUAGUAUUAAAUCAAGGAACAAUUCAAUAUGGCUACCCUAUAAAACAAAAUAUCUCUUCUAAAAGUAGUUGACUGGCUAUACACUCUGGACUUUGCUGAUCUAUAAAAUAACUAUAUCCCAGUCACCAGUAGUGUUUCUGGGUCCUUCUAGCUGAGUGUCCUGCUAUGCUCCCUGCAGGUGUGCAGAAACAAAGAGUAUUCAGUUAAAAUCCAUGUCUCCUUCCCACUGCUGCUCUUUCUUGGACCAAACAAAGUCAAAUACUGCAGUAUAAAGCACGUUGGUUAUAUGAGGAGCAGAUUUGUUGUCUUCUCCCAGUUUCCCAGAGGGGCUCCACUACUGUUGAAGUAGUUCAAUUAGCUAUUCACAGAUCAACCCCUAAACAAAAUAAAUCACUUCAAAAGUUUAACUAGAAACUAUUCAAAUUCUGUAGUCUUAAUUUGAUUUUUUUUAAAUCAAAAUUAGGUCCAGUUUCAUCAAAUAUUUAAGAUCUGGAUCAAAGAACCUUAACUAUAGAAAAAAUGGGAAAAUUCUAAGAGAAGACAUAAUGAAGCACAAGUGCAAAAUGGGAGUACUAAGAGCCUGGUUCAAAGGCUACUGGAGUCAAUGUAAAAGAUGCCAUUGACUUCGGUAGGGUAAAAGCUCUAAAUCUCUAGCAAGGUUAAUGAAAAAUAAUGUUUUGGUACAUCAGAAAAUUGUGUGUAUGGAAAAUUUGGGGGUACAAGAAAAUUAGUUAUUCCAAAACCUUUGGCAGUGUCUGUAAGAAUUUUCUCUUUAUUGAAUUCCCUUACAAAAUUUGACCCUUUGUUACAUAUUCUAAAAAUAUUUCAUACGCUACUCAAAUCUCUUUUUCCUUCGCCUUGUCCCAUCAAUCCAGUUUGGCAGUUCUUGUUCCUCAUCUCCAAGCAUUUUUGUCAAGUACAUCUAAGCUGAAACCAACCUUCUUCAUAUCUUCCUUCAGCUUCUUGAACCACCUUUUUCUAGGUCUUCCUCAUGCUCUUUGUUCUCUGACUACUAGCUCUUGUACUCUGUGGCCAACAUAUCUCACAUCUCGUUAUCUCACAUGACCCAGCCAUCUCAGCAGAUACUCCCUGAGCUUUUCCAUGAUGGGACCUGCCUCCAUCAUGGGUCAUACUGUUUCACUGCAUAGUAUGUCAGUUUUUGUCUUAUCCAGCAUCCACCUGCACAUUCUCAUUUUGGUAGUGGAAGUAGUUGUUCUUCUGUCUUCCUCAUUGGCCAGCAUUCUGACCCGUAUGUCAUGGCUGGCCUAAUCAUGAACUUCUACACUUUGCUCUUUGGUUUAUGUGACAUAUUCUUAUAGUAUAAAAUUCUCAUCAACUCCUCUGUUUACACCAAGCACUCUUCAUUUGCUCCUAACAUCCACAUU
Molecule: long non-coding RNA, 2384 nt
Organism: Caretta caretta (loggerhead turtle)
Lineage: Eukaryota; Metazoa; Chordata; Testudines; Cheloniidae
Source: RefSeq, a predicted model, not a curated record